Molecule: long non-coding RNA, 3954 nt
Organism: Heterocephalus glaber (naked mole-rat)
Lineage: Eukaryota; Metazoa; Chordata; Mammalia; Rodentia; Bathyergidae
Source: Ensembl
GGUCAUCCUGGGGUCACCCUGGGGACAGUCUAGGGAAGGAGAAGGCCGUGGCAACAGGGGGGAGGUGAGAAAGGGGGUGGGGAAAAUGGCAGCUGAGGGACUGGCCAGGAGCUGCUAUCCUUUGUCUGCCUGGCUUUUACGCGUGUGUGGGGACAAAGCCUCUCUGCUAGAAAGGGCUCCUUUUCCCUAGAGAUCUGCGGUGUGUGAGUGUGUGUGUGUGUGUGUGUGUGUGUGUGUGUGUGUGUGCGCGCGCACCGCGCCUACCCCUCUCCGAGGCUCUGGUGGGAAUGACUCAGCAACACAGCCAAGCCUGCUCCAUUCUGCCAGCUCCAUGCAUCUGCCACCCGUCCUCGGCCUUGUCCUGCUUCUUAUCCCUGCAGCACCCACACAGCUGGCCCACAGGCCUGACUCCCUGAUGCCAGUCACAAAGCCGGAAGCCAUCCUGGGGUGGGGCUGCCUCAGACCCUCCCUCAGCUCUCACCCUGGCCCCUUCCAGCUGCUUCUCUAUGCAUGGGGGUCCUCACAGGACCUCGUUCACCACUGCCCAGUGAGGACGCACUCUGACUGUCCUCAUCCACAGAUUCAGAAAAGGAGCACCACCAGGCCACCCCCCAUUUGUGCCCUCUACUGAGGGAUAGGUCUGUCCCCAGGGCUAAAGUUACCAGCACGGACACUCACUAAAGGACCGCAGCAGCAGCAAUGAAGAGAAACAGCUAGAAACAACCUGUGCUCAUCCGGAAAGAUGCUUCCUGUAAAUCACUGUGCAUCUGCAGGGCAGGACCCCCAGCAGCCACUGGAGAGGCUAGGCGCUGUCUGUGCACAUGGUGCCUUCUGGAAAUGAGAAUCAAUUGCUUAAAAACCAUAAUAUACUACAUAAAGAAAACACCGUGGUUAUCUGACUUCAGAGUUCAGACUCCAAACCCUGAGAGAGGACAGCCUAGCAGACUCUGGACUAGGGAAUUGGACUCGAGUUUUAACUAGGCAAAGAGCCACCUGGAAUAAAGACUUAUCUCCUAAUCAUCUUUGCAUGUAGAUUUGCUCACGUGACUAUGUCCCAGCAAAUGGGAGCCAAAUGGAAGUAUGAGGAUCGAACUUGGGUCCUUGCACUUGCGCAGCAGGAGGCGAAACCACUGAGCUAAAUCCCUGGCCCUGAGCAGCCUGUUUGGACCAUGAAUUGAAAGUGCAGCUCAGCCUCUCAGACCAACUGUGCAGCUCUGAGUUUUCUCAGUGGAGGAUGUCCCUCUGGGACAAGGUGAUUCAAAGCUUGCGACACAUGGUCAUGCUCAGGGUAGCACUGGCUCCUCACAACUCCAACAACAGGGGCUAUGACUGCAAUCUUCAGAGGAGAAAGCAAGGACCCGGAACUUGGAAACUGCUUGCUCAGGAUCAGCCACGAGGAAGUGCAGGAGCAGGAACUUGAACCCCGGGUUUUGAAUGAAAAACUUCACCUACCUGAAACAAAGGCUGCACAUGAGAUUCUUACACAAAGGCACCCUUUUCCCAACUGCUCAUCCCAACACGGAGGCCCUGGGUCAGGUUUGUGACGUCCUGAGGUGCUGAAGGGGUGGGACAAGGGAGGGGAAAGCUGUCAGGCAAUCCCUCAGCAGCUUGGAGGUCUGGGAGACAGAUUCGACCAGCACUGGUGAUAGCCCAAACAGUGCAUUUGCACAAACAGAACAAGGAACAGAAACUCGAGUUGCUUUACUGCCAUCUACUGGAAAUUUGUCAUAAUAAUCAUUCAAAUUUGUGGUAAAUGGGGAAAAAAAAAGAAGCCUCCCUAGAAUCAUACAGUGUAGAACCUGAACAACAUGUGGAGCAGCCCUAGAUGCACCUUUUCUCACUUGAGAGCAUGAAAAAAAAAAAAAAAAGACCCAUCACCAUGGAGGCUCCAGUCCUGUCUGCUUCCUUCUUGCAUGAGAGUCCCUGGCUCAUCCAGAGGUGCUACAGCCAUCUGCCUGCCCUAGUUUCACCAUGAGACCCAGUAGAAUCCAUGCAUCCUUCCACCCGCUCCAGGCACACGUCCCAGACACCUACGCUGGGCCAGGUACUUAUCUGAAUUUUUCACCAAUUACUAGCUGUGCGUACUUGGACAUUUUCUUAGGCUACUGUCUACUCUUCAGUAUGAAGGGAUAAUAACCCAGCUGGCACUGUGAAUGAGACUUAAGUGAGAUAAUAUAUGUAAAGUCCUAGAAGCCAGUGGCUGACCCUGGACCUACUGCCAGCACCAUUAGAUCUGAGUUACACACAUGCAUGCAUGGGUGGCCAAAGGGAAGACAGGCUCUGGCACAUCUUCCCUCAGAAACAAUCAGGAAACUGUGGCACAAAUGCAUGAAUAUAAAGUUCUCAGUGUGAAGCUGAGCCCAGAGCACAGUGAGUGCCUGGGCACUGGCUUUUCUCCUUUUCCUCUAGUCCUGGCUGGAUCUGAAGCUGGCUAGGUGAGUUCAGGGUCCCUUUGAUUCCCAGGGAGAGAGAACAGUUGCAAGUUUCCUUUACCUGCAGGAAGAGGCUUCCAGACUACUGUGUGGCCAAGCCUCUGGACACCUCCAUGUCUGGCUCAAAGCAAGGCCACAGACCCAUAGAGUUUUAGUUUCUUCAUCCAUGAAAUGAAGCCAGUCAUAUUUACUUUGUAGCCAUUUAGGUAAUGCAAGAAGUAACUAAAAGGCCUCCAACCAUGCUGGAAACAAGCUAAACACAAAAUAAAUUAGAGAUGCAAUCUCAGCUCUGGGACCCAGGGGGCGUCUGGAGCCAGCUGAAGGAUUCUAUUCUCUGCCAUCAAACUGCCUACCACAAUUGGCAUGAGCACUUGAAAUUGCAGGUCCUAAAACUGAUGAGGAGGCAGGAUUGAGCUCACUCCAUCUCGCUCCUCCUAUGGGAGGGAAGUUGGUACACACUUUCCAGUGGGUAGGUAGGCAACAGGAUCCUUUUGACCCAGCCAUUUCAUUUCUAGGAAUUCAGCUAAGGAAAUAGUCACAGGCCCCUCAGAGUGUUGUGCUAGGACAUUCAUUGCAAUGUUGCUAAUAAUAGUGAGAAACUGGAAAUAAUCUAAAGUUAGAGACACAUUCAAUACACAUCUUGGCUGGAUGCCAAAUGGUCAAGUGCUAAGAUCAGUACUCAGCAGAAGCCAAGGCCAACGCUUUCCACCAUCUUCAUGCAGCCAGUGUCUUUGGUAAAGGAGUGAAUUUCAAGAAAAUGUUAUCAGACUUUGCAGUGCCAACAUCCUAAUCGACAUGUUUCACUGCCAGUGUUUGACAGUCUAACGUUACAGCUCAAGAACAGCAUUUUCUCAGUAUUAGCAGAAGAUGGAUUGUUUCUAUGUUAAAUACUGUGCACAUUUGUGUUAAUAAAUUGAUGCUUACAUUGACUGAUGCUUGUGGGAGAGUGUGACGGCCUCAUUUUUUCCCAAUACUUUCUUCUUUUCUCCAUAUUCUGUAUAUUCUUUCCCAUGUUGGGUUAAAUAUGAUUUGCCACAGAAAUAUUGAUCAAAAACUAUAGUCAAUGUUUAAAUAAAAAAUUAUUACAGAAAAGACACAUUGUCAUUAGUCCCCCUCACUUUGAACACACUUAUUCUAUUAUUCUUGCCACUUUCUGAAGCAGUUCUAGAAGUCUUCUUUUGUGAGUGUUUUUUUGUGUGUGAGUGCGUGUGUGUGCCUGCCUCAAUGUCCUGAACUAAUUAAAAAUGUUUACAGCAACUUCUGGCAAAUAAAAACAUUGCAGUGUGUCCUCAUCCACCUUACUUGUCAGAUCUAGCACCGUGAGGUUUCUGGUUCUUCCCCAAAGUCAAAAUGAUCAUGAAAGGUAAAUGUUUUGAACCAAUUCAAGAGAUUGAGGGACAGCCACAACAGUGCAAAUAAAGACACUCACAAAAGAAGACUUUCAGAACUGCUUCAGACAGUGGCAAAAAUGAUGGGAGAAGUGUGUUCCAAAGAGGAGGAGUAUUCUGAGGGGAAUUAAUGG